GAGGUACGGAGGAGAUAUGGAGGAGAUAUGGAGGAGGAGGUACAGAUGAGGAGGAGAUAUGGAGGAGGAGAUAUGGAGGAGAUAUGGAGGAGGAGGUACGGAGGAGAUAUGGAGGAGAUAUGGAGGAGGAGGUACAGAUGAGGAGGAGGUAUGGAGGAGGUACGGAGGAGGUAUAGAGAAGAUAUGGAGGAGGUACAGAGGAGAUAUGGAGAUAUGGAGGAGGUAUGGAGGGGGUACAGAGGAGAUACGGAGGAGAUAUGGAGGAGGUACAGAGGAGAUACGGAGGAGGAGGAGGUAUGGAGGAGGCGGAGGUAUGGAGGAGAUAUGGAGGAGGAGAUAUGGAGGAGGAGGUACGGAGGAGGUACAGAGAAGAUAUGGAGGAGGAGGUACAGAUGAGGAGGAGGUAUGGAGGAGGUAUGGAGGAGAUACAGAGAAGAUAUGGAGGAGGAGGUACAGAGGAGGAGGUAUGGAGGAGAUAUGGAGGAGGAGGUACGGAGGAGAUAUGGAGGAGAUAUGGAGGAGAUAUGGAGGAGAUACGGAGGAGGUAUGGAAGAGGAGAGAUGGAGGAGGAGGUAUGGAAGAGGAGGAGGAGGUAUAGAGGAGGUAUGGAGGAGGAGAUACGGAGGAGAUAUGGAGGAGGAGGUAUGGAGGAGGAGGAGGUAUGGAGGAGGUACGAGGAGAAAUGGAGGAGGAGAGAUGGAGGAGGAGGAGGUAUAGAGGAGGAGGUACGGAGGAAAUACAAAGGAGUAGGAGGUAUGGAGGAGGUACAGAGGAGAAAUGGAGGCGGAGGUAUGGAGGAGGUACAGAGAAGAUAUGGAGGAGGAGAUAUGGAGGUACAGAGAAGGAGGAGGUAUGGAGGAGGUACAGAGGAGGAGGAGGUAUGGAGGAGGUACGGAGGAGGAGGAGGUAUGGAGGAGGUACAGAGGAGGAGGAGGUGUGGAGGAGGUACGGAGGAGAAAUGGAGGAGGAGGUAUGGAGGAGGUAUGGAGGAGGAGGUACGGAGGAGGUACAGAGGAGGAGGAGGUAUGGAGGAGGAGGUAUGGAGGAGGAGGUAUGGAGGAGGAGGAUGCAUGGAGGAGGUGCAGAGGAGGAGGAGGUAUAGAGGAGGUAUGGAGGAGAAAUGGAGGAGGAGGUACAGAGAAGAUAUGGAGGAGGAGAUAUGGAGGAGUAUGGAGGAGGUACAGAGAAGGAGGAGGUAUGGAGGAGGUACAGAUGAGGAGGAGGUAUGAAGGAGGUAUGGAGGAGGUAUGGAGGAGGUACAGAGAAGAUAUAGAGGAGGAGAUAUGGAGGAGGUAUGGAGGAGAUAUAGAGGAGAUAUAGAGGAGGAGAUAUGGAGGAGGUAUGGAGGAGAUAUAGAGGAGAUAUAGAGGAGGAGGUACGGGGGAGGUAGAGGAGGAGGAGGAAUGGAGGAGAAGAUAUGGAGGAGGAGGUAUGGAGGAGAUAUAGAGGAGGAGGUACGGAGGAGGAGGUACAGAGGAGGAGUUAUGGAGGAGAUAAGGAGGAGAUAUGGAGGAGGUAAAGAGGAGAUAUGGAGGAGGUAUGGAGGAGGAGGUAGGGAGGAGGUAGGGAGGAGGAGACAUAGAGGUUUGGAGGAGGUUUGGAGGAGAUAUGGAGGAGGAGGUACGGAGGAGGUACAGAGGAGGAGAAAUGGACGAGGAGAAAUGAGGAGGAGGUAUGGAGGAGGUACGGAGGAGAAAUGGAGGAGGAGAUACGGAGGAGGUAUGGAGGAGGUACGGAGGAGAUAGGGAGGAGACAUAGAGGAGGUUUGGAGGAGGAGAUACGGAGGAGGAGGUACGGAGGAGGAAUGGAGGAGGUACGGAGGAGGAAGGUCAUGGCUGGUCAUGGCUCACAUCAACACCAUCAUGCCGGAAACCCUAGAUCCACUCCAAUUCGCAUACCACCCAAACAGAUCCACAGAUGAUGCAAUGUCUACUGCACUCCCCACUGCCCUUUCCCACCUGGACAAAAGGAACAUCUAUGUGAGAAUGCUGUUCAUUGACUACAGCUCAGCGUUCAACACCAUAGUGCCCUCCAAACUCAUCACUAAGCUAAGGACCCUGGGACUAAACACCUCCCUCUGCAACUGGAACCUGGACUUCCUGACGGGCCGCCCCCAGGUGGUGAGCUAGCUAGCAGAACAGGUACCACUCCUCCUCCUCCUCCUCCUCCAUAAACACAGAGGGGUGGUGAGGAGAGGACCAGCUAGCUAGCAGAACAGGUACCACUCCUCCUCCUCCUCCUCCAUAAACACAGAGGGGUGGUGAGGAGAGGACCAGCUAGCUAGCAGAACAGGUACCACUCCUCCUCCUCCUCCUCCUCCAUAAACACAGAGGGGUGGUGAGGAGAGGACCAGCUAGCUAGCAGAACAGGUACCACUCCUCCUCCUCCUCCUCCAUAAACACAGAGGGGUGGUGAGGAGAGGACCAGCUAGCUAGCAGAAC
This 2441-nucleotide long non-coding RNA is filed under the name Salmo salar (Atlantic salmon). Its description in RNAcentral is "lncRNA (ENSSSAG00000097271.1)". Lineage: Eukaryota; Metazoa; Chordata; Actinopteri; Salmoniformes; Salmonidae. The record is from RNAcentral.